RNAcentral lists this ribosomal RNA (492 nucleotides) under uncultured bacterium. RNAcentral's name for it is "partial 16S ribosomal RNA". It matches the Rfam family "Bacterial small subunit ribosomal RNA", at positions 29 to 507 of the family's 1533-position model. The record is from RNAcentral.
AGUGAACGCUGGCGGUAGGCCUAACACAUGCAAGUCGAACGGCAGCACAGUAAGAGCUUGCUCUUACGGGUGGCGAGUGGCGGACGGGUGAGGAAUACAUAGGAAUCUACUUUUUCGUGGGGGAUAACGUAGGGAAACUUACGCUAAUACCGCAUACGACCUACGGGUGAAAGAAGGGGAUCUUCGGACCUUGCGCGAUUGAAUGAGCCGAUGUCGGAUUAGCUAGUUGGCGGGGUAAAGGCCCACCAAGGCGACGAUCCGUAGCUGGUCUGAGAGGAUGAUCAGCCACACUGGAACUGAGACACGGUCCAGACUCCUACGGGAGGCAGCAGUGGGGAAUAUUGGACAAUGGGCGCAAGCCUGAUCCAGCCAUACCGCGUGGGUGAAGAAGGCCUUCGGGUUGUAAAGCCCUUUUGUUGGGAAAGAAAAGCAGCAGGUUAAUACCCCGCUGUUCUGACGGUACCCAAAGAAUAAGCACCGGCUAACUUCGUG